GCCCGGCCCUGGCGUCUGCUAGGGAGUGAGGGGGCUGGGACGGCCGAGGGGUCCCGCCGCCCCGAGAGCCGGGGGACAGUCACCGCAGCCUCUGACGGGAAGGCCGCCCCGGGGAGGAAGGUGGCCAGCGUCGCUCAUCAUCCCUCUCUGCUCAGAGCCGAACCGCCUUCCUGGCAUCUGAUGACCGCGAAGGGUGAGCUGAAUAGGAAAGCAGUGGGUGCAGUACAGCUGUGUUAAGAGAGACAAGACCGGCAGCAUUGGCAACUGGCAACUUCUGUUUUCCAAAGAUGUAUGCUGAUCCCAGAGGUUUGAGAAGAGUUUUUAUUAUUAACAUAUGUGAAAGACCAGCAGGUGGAAGGCAGUUCCUAGAGCCAUGCCCUUUCUGAGUAUGAGUGCACGAACUCUCUGCUUGGUGAACACACUGGCCAGCGAGUAGGUGAUGCUUAGAGAGGGAGCAUGGCCCUUCCUUGGGCUCAGAGGGCUCCUUCCAGAGAGCUUGAGCAGAGGCAGCGGCAUUCUUUUGAUUAUUCUCUUCCCAGUGGGAGUCCUACAUUAGCACUGACAUGAAAAUGGCAUCCCAUUACUGCAGGAUGGUUGAGAAUAUGAUGAUAACUGGAACGUGUGCCUCUGUAG
This is a long non-coding RNA of Bos taurus (domestic cattle), 633 nucleotides long. The record is from Ensembl. Lineage: Eukaryota; Metazoa; Chordata; Mammalia; Artiodactyla; Bovidae.